AUGCAAGUCGAACGAAGCCCUGGUGCUUGCACCAGGAUCCUUAGUGGCGGACGGGUGAGUAACGCGUGGGGACCUGCCCUGGAGUGAGGAAUAACUGCUGGAAACGGCAGCUAAUACUGCAUACGCCCCUUUCGGGGGGGAAAGGGCUUCGGCCGCUCUUGGAUGGCCCCGCGUCGGAUUAGCUUGUUGGUGAGGUAACGGCCCACCAAGGCGACGAUCCGUAGCUGGUCUGAGAGGACGAUCAGCCACACUGGGACUGAGACACGGCCCAGACUCC
This 277-nucleotide ribosomal RNA is filed under the name unidentified marine bacterioplankton. Its description in RNAcentral is "partial 16S ribosomal RNA". It matches the Rfam family "Bacterial small subunit ribosomal RNA", at positions 55 to 339 of the family's 1533-position model. The record is from RNAcentral. RNAcentral also lists the same sequence under 1 other name.